UCCGGUAUGGUGUAACGGUUCAACAUUGCCGCUUUUCAACCUUAUGUAAUCUGACGCGGCAGCUCGGGGUUCGAUUCCCCGUACCGGAA
Mycena galopus ATCC 62051 is the source of this 89-nucleotide non-coding RNA. NCBI's taxonomy places the organism in Eukaryota, Fungi, Basidiomycota, Agaricomycetes, Agaricales, Mycenaceae. The record is from the annotation of a GenBank genome assembly.